This 1047-nucleotide long non-coding RNA is filed under the name Oryctolagus cuniculus (rabbit). RNAcentral describes it as "lncRNA (ENSOCUG00000030573.1)". Lineage: Eukaryota; Metazoa; Chordata; Mammalia; Lagomorpha; Leporidae. The record is from RNAcentral.
AUGUGUCACACCCUGCACCUGCCACUCCCACACCUGCCAUACCCUGUACAGCCACAUAGCCCACCUGCCACACCCUGCACCUGCCACACCCUGUACUGCCACACCCUGUACUGCCACACAGCCCACCUGCCACACCCUGCACCUGCUACUCCCACACCUGCCACACCCUGCACCUGCCACACCCUGUACUGCCACACCCUGUACUGCCACACAGCCCACCUGCCACACCCCUCACCUGCCACUCCCACACCUGCCACUCCCCUCACUUGCCACACACCCCACCUGCCACACCCUGCACCAGCCACACCCUGUAGCUGUCACUCCCACACCUGCCAUACCCUGUACUGCCACACAGCCCACCUGCCACACCCCUCACCUGCCACACCCUGUAGCUGCCACUCCCUGCACCUGCCACUCCCCUCACCUGCCACGUCCCUCACCUGCCACUCCCACACCUGCCACACCCCUCAUAUGUCACUCCCCUCACCUGCCACUCCCACACCUGCACAGCCUGCACACCCCUGUUGCUGCCUGCAGUCACAGCUCCACAGUGCAUCCCAGCACCUGGCAGGACAGCAAGGCGGCAGGAGCCUCCACGUCACAGGUCCUGCAGGAUGUGGCAGAGCCAUGUGUGACAAAGGAUCUCACAGGUGGGGAUGUCCUCUCCUGUCCUUCAGAGGAAAUUGGUCUUUGGUUUGCCGUGACAAACAACAGAACCCUAGAUCAGCCCAGUACCUUCCUCACUGCCCCCUCCCCACUCAGCAGCUGUCAGUCAGGUGCACCCUGGGCCUAGACCUCCGCGUGUCUGCCAUCGCCUCGGCCCCUCCUGGCACACGACCACAACUUCCUCAGAGGCCCAGGGUGAGCAGCAGACCAGGGAAGCAGGAGCAGCAGGCCCUGGACGCUGGUGGAUGGGACGAGAGCAUCAGGAGGGCGACGCUCCUUGGGGGGACGAGGGGCGCAGCCAUGGGGAAGACACGCCUGGCCUCGUCACGAGACGUGUCCAGGCUGGCGGCACCUGUGCAGACCAACAGGAGCAGGAUCUGA